This 115-nucleotide ribosomal RNA is filed under the name Kwoniella shandongensis. Lineage: Eukaryota; Fungi; Basidiomycota; Tremellomycetes; Tremellales; Cryptococcaceae. The record is from RNAcentral.
UACGGCCAUAGAAGCGAGAAAACGCCAGAUCCCGUUCGAUCUCUGUAGCUAAGCUCGCUAUCGCUCGAUUAGUACCAAGGUGGGGGACCACUUGGGAAUCCCGAGUGCUGUAGUU